This is a long non-coding RNA of Helianthus annuus (common sunflower), 192 nucleotides long. RefSeq lists it as uncharacterized. The record is from RefSeq and is a predicted model, not a curated record. NCBI's taxonomy places the organism in Eukaryota, Viridiplantae, Streptophyta, Magnoliopsida, Asterales, Asteraceae. The transcript is spliced from 3 exons.
CGGUUACUCAGCGAACCAGCUCAGGGGAUAAGCGUGUCGCCUUCCGAAGAUAAUAUGCAUUAUUUUAAUGUUAUGAUCCUUGGUCCAACGCAGUCUCCUUAUGAAGCCGCUUAUUUUAACAAGAAUUCUUGAAAGACAACAAUCUACUGGAUCUUUCGACAAUCAUAACUCCAAAAUCAGAGCACAGGCAAG